RNAcentral lists this ribosomal RNA (2902 nucleotides) under Escherichia coli. Its description in RNAcentral is "23S ribosomal RNA". It matches the Rfam family "Bacterial large subunit ribosomal RNA". Lineage: Bacteria; Pseudomonadati; Pseudomonadota; Gammaproteobacteria; Enterobacterales; Enterobacteriaceae. The record is from RNAcentral.
GGUUAAGCGACUAAGCGUACACGGUGGAUGCCCUGGCAGUCAGAGGCGAUGAAGGACGUGCUAAUCUGCGAUAAGCGUCGGUAAGGUGAUAUGAACCGUUAUAACCGGCGAUUUCCGAAUGGGGAAACCCAGUGUGAUUCGUCACACUAUCAUUAACUGAAUCCAUAGGUUAAUGAGGCGAACCGGGGAACUGAAACAUCUAAGUACCCCGAGGAAAAGAAAUCAACCGAGAUUCCCCCAGUAGCGGCGAGCGAACGGGGAAGAGCCCAGAGCCUGAAUCAGUGUGUGUGUUAGUGGAAGCGUCUGGAAAGGCGCGCGAUACAGGGUGACAGCCCCGUACACAAAAAUGCACAUGUUGUGAGCUCGAUGAGUAGGGCGGGACACGUGGUAUCCUGUCUGAAUAUGGGGGACCAUCCUCCAAGGCUAAAUACUCCUGACUGACCGAUAGUGAACCAGUACCGUGAGGGAAAGGCGAAAAGAACCCCGGCGAGGGGAGUGAAAAAGAACCUGAAACCGUGUACGUACAAGCAGUGGGAGCCUCUUUUAUGGGGUGACUGCGUACCUUUUGUAUAAUGGGUCAGCGACUUAUAUUCUGUAGCAAGGUUAACCGAAUAGGGGAGCCGAAGGGAAACCGAGUCUUAACUGGGCGUUAAGUUGCAGGGUAUAGACCCGAAACCCGGUGAUCUAGCCAUGGGCAGGUUGAAGGUUGGGUAACACUAACUGGAGGACCGAACCGACUAAUGUUGAAAAAUUAGCGGAUGACUUGUGGCUGGGGGUGAAAGGCCAAUCAAACCGGGAGAUAGCUGGUUCUCCCCGAAAGCUAUUUAGGUAGCGCCUCGUGAACUCAUCUCCGGGGGUAGAGCACUGUUUCGGCAAGGGGGUCAUCCCGACUUACCAACCCGAUGCAAACUGCGAAUACCGGAGAAUGUUAUCACGGGAGACACACGGCGGGUGCUAACGUCCGUCGUGAAGAGGGAAACAACCCAGACCGCCAGCUAAGGUCCCAAAGUCAUGGUUAAGUGGGAAACGAUGUGGGAAGGCCCAGACAGCCAGGAUGUUGGCUUAGAAGCAGCCAUCAUUUAAAGAAAGCGUAAUAGCUCACUGGUCGAGUCGGCCUGCGCGGAAGAUGUAACGGGGCUAAACCAUGCACCGAAGCUGCGGCAGCGACGCUUAUGCGUUGUUGGGUAGGGGAGCGUUCUGUAAGCCUGCGAAGGUGUACUGUGAGGUAUGCUGGAGGUAUCAGAAGUGCGAAUGCUGACAUAAGUAACGAUAAAGCGGGUGAAAAGCCCGCUCGCCGGAAGACCAAGGGUUCCUGUCCAACGUUAAUCGGGGCAGGGUGAGUCGACCCCUAAGGCGAGGCCGAAAGGCGUAGUCGAUGGGAAACAGGUUAAUAUUCCUGUACUUGGUGUUACUGCGAAGGGGGACGGAGAAGGCUAUGUUGGCCGGGCGACGGUUGUCCCGGUUUAAGCGUGUAGGCUGGUUUUCCAGGCAAAUCCGGAAAAUCAAGGCUGAGGCGUGAUGACGAGGCACUACGGUGCUGAAGCAACAAAUGCCCUGCUUCCAGGAAAAGCCUCUAAGCAUCAGGUAACAUCAAAUCGUACCCCAAACCGACACAGGUGGUCAGGUAGAGAAUACCAAGGCGCUUGAGAGAACUCGGGUGAAGGAACUAGGCAAAAUGGUGCCGUAACUUCGGGAGAAGGCACGCUGAUAUGUAGGUGAAGCGACUUGCUCGUGGAGCUGAAAUCAGUCGAAGAUACCAGCUGGCUGCAACUGUUUAUUAAAAACACAGCACUGUGCAAACACGAAAGUGGACGUAUACGGUGUGACGCCUGCCCGGUGCCGGAAGGUUAAUUGAUGGGGUUAGCGGUAACGCGAAGCUCUUGAUCGAAGCCCCGGUAAACGGCGGCCGUAACUAUAACGGUCCUAAGGUAGCGAAAUUCCUUGUCGGGUAAGUUCCGACCUGCACGAAUGGCGUAAUGAUGGCCAGGCUGUCUCCACCCGAGACUCAGUGAAAUUGAACUCGCUGUGAAGAUGCAGUGUACCCGCGGCAAGACGGAAAGACCCCGUGAACCUUUACUAUAGCUUGACACUGAACAUUGAGCCUUGAUGUGUAGGAUAGGUGGGAGGCUUUGAAGUGUGGACGCCAGUCUGCAUGGAGCCGACCUUGAAAUACCACCCUUUAAUGUUUGAUGUUCUAACGUUGGCCCCUGAUCGGGGUUGCGGACAGUGUCUGGUGGGUAGUUUGACUGGGGCGGUCUCCUCCUAAAGAGUAACGGAGGAGCACGAAGGUUGGCUAAUCCUGGUCGGACAUCAGGAGGUUAGUGCAAUGGCAUAAGCCAGCUUGACUGCGAGCGUGACGGCGCGAGCAGGUGCGAAAGCAGGUCAUAGUGAUCCGGUGGUUCUGAAUGGAAGGGCCAUCGCUCAACGGAUAAAAGGUACUCCGGGGAUAACAGGCUGAUACCGCCCAAGAGUUCAUAUCGACGGCGGUGUUUGGCACCUCGAUGUCGGCUCAUCACAUCCUGGGGCUGAAGUAGGUCCCAAGGGUAUGGCUGUUCGCCAUUUAAAGUGGUACGCGAGCUGGGUUUAGAACGUCGUGAGACAGUUCGGUCCCUAUCUGCCGUGGGCGCUGGAGAACUGAGGGGGCUGCUCCUAGUACGAGAGGACCGGAGUGGACGCAUCACUGGUGUUCGGGUUGUCAUGCCAAUGGCACUGCCCGGUAGCUAAAUGCGGAAGAGAUAAGUGCUGAAAGCAUCUAAGCACGAAACUUGCCCCGAGAUGAGUUCUCCCUGACCCUUUAAGGGUCCUGAAGGAACGUUGAAGACGACGACGUUGAUAGGCCGGGUGUGUAAGCGCAGCGAUGCGUUGAGCUAACCGGUACUAAUGAACCGUGAGGCUUAACCUU